UCCUGCCUUGCCUGUGUGACAACCC
Molecule: non-coding RNA, 25 nt
Filed under: Rattus norvegicus (Norway rat)
Lineage: Eukaryota; Metazoa; Chordata; Mammalia; Rodentia; Muridae
Source: RNAcentral